AUUGAACGCUGGCGGCAUGCCUUACACAUGCAAGUCGAACGGCAGCACGGGAGCAAUCCUGGUGGCGAGUGGCGAACGGGUGAGUAAUAUAUCGGAACGUGCCCAGUCGUGGGGGAUAACGCAGCGAAAGCUGUGCUAAUACCGCAUACGACCUAAGGAUGAAAGCGGGGGAUCUCAAGACCUCGCGCGAUUGGAGCGGCCGAUAUCAGAUUAGCUAGUUGGUGGGGUAAAGGCCCACCAAGGCGACGAUCUGGAGCUGGUCUGAGAGGACGACCAGACAGACUGGAACUGAGACACGGUACAGACUCCUACGGGAGGCAGCAGUGGGGAAUUUUGGACAAUGGGCGCAAGCCUGAUCCAGCAAUGCCGCGUGCAGGAUGAAGGCCUUCGGGUUGUAAACUGCUUUUGUACGGAACGAAACGGCCCUUUCUAAUACAGGGGGCUAAUGACGGUACCGUAAGAAUAAGCACCGGCUAACUACGUGCCAGCCGCCGCAGUAA
RNAcentral lists this ribosomal RNA (500 nucleotides) under uncultured bacterium. RNAcentral's name for it is "partial 16S ribosomal RNA". It matches the Rfam family "Bacterial small subunit ribosomal RNA", at positions 30 to 523 of the family's 1533-position model. The record is from RNAcentral.